AGGUGACUUUAAGUUGUCUAAAUGUACAGUGAAAAGCUAAGUCUCCUGCUUUGAGAAGUCUAUUGCUUCAGUUUCGCUUUCUCAAGAAAUGAGAGAAGGUCUUUGAAUAUAAUUGUUCUCAUUUCAACACGUGCCCCCAAAAUGUUGGUAACUAAGCUUGCUUCUGUGAGGUAGAAAGCCAGUGAUGAUAAUUCCCUUUUUGUGGAAGAAUUAUUGGCCUAUGGAGGCUUUUUGCGAUGACUUUCUACUGCAGAUGUGAAUGCCCUGUGUUGUGUGUGAGAACUGGAAUGCCUAUGAAUAUCUGUGCUAAAAUGGAAUGGCUAGGCUCAGCUAGCUCCAGUUCUUGUGGUGAAGUGGAUACCUGCCUGUCUCUGACUGAAAACAACAGUAAAUCCUUGCUUACCUCCAAAAGAAAAGGAUGCGGUGUCUAUUCCUGUGCUUGAGCCUUGUUCCCUUGCUGCUGAUCUUGUUUCGUGGGUAACACAAGAAGGGAGAAAAAUGAUCCCGUAAACAAUUGGCUGUUUGGCAUGGCAAGCUCUGUGAAAGAAACACUUCAUAGGCUUAGUAACAAACACUUGCAUUUCUGCAGUAAGUAACUUGUAAGUGUCAGACUGGCUUUACUCACUGAAUGAAGUCACCUGCUGUGGUGCCGAUGUCUGUAUCUUUGCAGCUGUAUUUCUGGAUAGAAGUUUCUUGAGCUCAAAGGUGGAUGAGCUGGCUGGAGAGGGGAAUGGCAGCAACUGUCUUGCAGGAGAAAAAAAGACUCUUCCUUUCUUAAGAUGAGUUCACUGAGCGCUCUCUGGUUUCUUCCUAGAUAAUCUGAACUAGUGUUUCUUGGCAAAACCCUUUUGUGUGGAAUCUUGGGAAGUUAGUUAUUGUGAAUCUUUGUCCCCAGCUGAGGCUGAGCUCUAACAUGAAUGACAAAAAUACUCUGUGCUUACUUCUUGAGCUUGUCUGGGUCUCUUUGGAUUGCAUCCUCUUCCUUAAGUGCAUUAGCUGCGUUGGACAGUGUGGUGUCACCUUCAAACUUGCUGAGGAUACAGUUGAUUCCACUGUUGGUGUCGCUGAUGAAGUGCUGGAGAGAAGGUUGUUGUGGGGGACAGCGUCAAAAGCCUUACCGAAAUCCAGACAGUUGACAGCAGCAGCUCUUGCCUGGUCUGCUCACCCCGUCGUAGGAAGAAAGGCCAGUAGAUUGUUCAGACAGGAUCCACCCUUGUUGAAGCCAGCAGGACAUCACCCUUUUUCCAGCCUCCACGAGGACUUCACUCGAGUGCCCUGACUCCUGAAAUCCCAUCGAGAGUGGCUUGGCAGCUGCGUACACCGAUUCUCUGAAGGCUCUGCGAUGCGUUUCAUUGAAACCCGCCAGGUUCCUCAAGCGGCUGCGAAGCUGAUCUUUGCUUACGGUGGGAGGGAUGCAGUCCUCACCUUUCAGCCGCUGCACUCAGGGGGGCGGUGAGGAGCAGCUGACAGUAAAGAAAGAGGCAGAAGUGUUAAGUACCUCAGCUUUCUCCUCUUCUAUUAUUAACAGCCUGCCUGUAUUGCUCACUGGGGUGUGUAUGCCGGCCUGGACUUUGUUUUGUCUUGUUUACCUGUGUUUUUCUUGGCAGUCCAAGUAUGCUGCAAAUUUGUCAGCAUCUAUUGAAGUAACACAGGGCUCUAUCAGCAAUGGAAGCAAUACUGCCUUGAGGAUAAACAGUUACUAGAGUUCUAGAAAUAGCAAAGCACUGAAGUUACCAGUCUCACAGGUGUUUCAAAGGUACUAAAAUGUAAACCUCUGAUAGAAAAAACAAAUAAAAAAAGUCAGUAUUUGCUAGUCUUAA
This is a long non-coding RNA of Centrocercus urophasianus (Greater sage-grouse), 1820 nucleotides long. RefSeq lists it as uncharacterized. The record is from RefSeq and is a predicted model, not a curated record. The transcript is spliced from 3 exons. NCBI's taxonomy places the organism in Eukaryota, Metazoa, Chordata, Aves, Galliformes, Phasianidae.